AUGGCCAAGGAGAAGACGGCGGCGCUGGAACGCGCAAAGAAGGCAUCGACGACGGAGAAGGCGAAGGGGAGAUCCACCAGCCGCGGCGGGUCUUCGUCUAGAUCCCGCCUGCCGAAGGGCUGGGUCCAAGGAGAUUGGAUCCAGUCGACCAUCACGGAGAAAGAUCUCCUCGACAUGGCCAAUGAGGGCCUGAUCCCCCAUGGAGCUGCGAGGCUUCCGGGGAAGGAGUGGCAGCCCCAGCCAGAAGAGGGUGAGUGCGUGCUCCUGGCCACCCAUGUCGAUCGUGGAUUUUCUUUGCCGCCGAGUAUUUUCUUCCGUGGUUUCUUGAACUUCUUUGGAGCGCAGCUCCACCACUUUACCCCAAAUUCUAUCGUCUAUCUUGCCGCAUUCGUGUCCAUGUGUGAGGGUUUUCUGGGCUGUCGACCGCACUGGGGCUUGUUCAAGCAUAUAUUCACGUGUCGCUCUCAGACCGUGAAGAAGGCGAGCCCAGGCGACGAAAGAACCCGAGUCGUCCAAAUGUGUGGGGGCCUGGGGAUCUAG
This 540-nucleotide ribosomal RNA is filed under the name Triticum aestivum (bread wheat). RNAcentral's name for it is "partial small subunit ribosomal RNA". Lineage: Eukaryota; Viridiplantae; Streptophyta; Magnoliopsida; Poales; Poaceae. The record is from RNAcentral.